CAAUUUAUAUCAUCUAUACAUUUAUAAACAAUUAUAAUUUGUAAGGAUAUAAGAAUUAUUAUAUUAUUAUUUUUUUUUACUAGCUUGAAUAUUAAUAGGGGUUUGUCCAGUUAUUCUAAUUUUUUAGAUAUCUAUGUUUAUAUUCCUAUAGAAGUAACUUAAGUCCGGAAUUAUUUUUCUGAUAAUAAUAAAAUAAAUCUUUUGAACUUCUACUUUGCCACGUUUUUUUACACACAUAAGGGGUAGUAGGCCUUGCUUAUGAUCUAUUUUGACAGUCAACAAUGGGAUUUUCAUUUGUUUAUAUUUGAGAAUGUGUUAGUGAGGCUAUCAUGGAAAUAUAUUUUCAGAAAGUGUUUUUUUGCAGUUUUUUAGAUUAUGAAGCUAAAAGCUUUUUUAUCUUAUUGGUGUUAUAAAUACAAUAUUUUGGAUGGAUGAAAGCAUGUAUUGUACACAUAUGCCUGUGUAUAAUAAAGCUGUCUAAAAGUCCAUAGGAGAAGAUACUACGACUGAUGCAGCUCUGGAACGAAGAUCUUGGGAACACUAGCCUUCAGGAUUGAGUCCCAGAACGAGAUUUAACCAGAUACCUAGGAAUGUUAUAAUAAGACAUAUCAGAAAAGACAGAUCCACAGAAAGGAGCAUUAUUAAUAAUACACCCCAGCACAUAAAGACCGCCCAAAAGGAGAGACAUGGGUCACCCCUAUAUAAUCCUGCUGUUUGAGAUUGGCCUUCUAUUAUCCGAUUAAAAACGCGAUUUAGUACUACACAUCAGCACACUGUCGCCCAGAGGCCGAACAGGCAGGGAUAUUAUAGGAUCCUGGAUAUUAUUAGGGAAUUUUACGUAAGUAAAUUUUACCGAUGGUGUCCCGACGGAUUGGAUCAAAGGGUGGCGCUCCAGGACGCGACGCGGCCUUCUUCCGAAGAGGAGUCCUGAAUCGUCUCCCGAACUUGAUGUUGUCUUAUGAAAUCCUAUGUAGCAUGCGAUGGUAGGUCGCUCGAUGAUCUCAGAUGCGGCUGUUUAAUUGGGAUCGGGAGUUGACUGGUAAGACAAAAUCAUCGAAAAGGAUCAAAUCUGCAGAAGCAACCACACCUCGGACGCGACGAAGAAUUUUUUUGUUCUGCAUCUGCCUGACGUCGAUUUAUGGGUAGAUAUUAGGGACAGAGAGGGUAGCAUACCCCAGCUAAAACCAAAUAAAGAUAAUUCGAGUUCGUGAUGCGUUUAAGUCAAAGAAUAUUCCAGAUGAACUAUUGCAAUACGCGUGUGAUUGGUCCUAAAGCUUCUUCGGAUUCUCCCAGGCACCAUCGAAUACCUGGUGACGUGUUAAGUACUAACUCAAGAGGAGUUGGAACAUUCCCCAUGCCCAAAUGCAGCUUCAAGUAACUGUCUUUUGUCUUUUCGUCUUUUAAUUAUAAUGGGACUGAAGAAAUACCGGCGAAUUGAUAUGGUGAUAAAGCAGCUCAGCCCUUAAAUGAAACCUCACGCAUAUGAAGAACUAAUUUGUAGCAAAGAGUACUUAUUUUAAUUAAUUUCUUAAUGAUGCUAAUGUAUUAUUUUAUAUACAGGGUAUCCCAGAAAUAAGUGCAAGUAUUUUAAGGAGUGAUAGAUCUCGAUAAAAGAAACAUAUUUUCUCGUUAUCGUUUUUCAAAUAAAUCC
Molecule: long non-coding RNA, 1651 nt
Organism: Sitophilus oryzae (rice weevil)
Lineage: Eukaryota; Metazoa; Arthropoda; Insecta; Coleoptera; Curculionidae
Exons: 8
Source: RefSeq, a predicted model, not a curated record